GCAUAUCAAUAAGCGGAGGAAAAGAAACCAACAGGGAUUGCCUCAGUAGCGGCGAGUGAAGCGGCAAGAGCUCAGAUUUGAAAUCGUGCUUUGCGGCACGAGUUGUAGAUUGCAGGUUGGAGUCUGUGUGGAAGGCGGUGUCCAAGUCCCUUGGAACAGGGCGCCCAGGAGGGUGAGAGCCCCGUGGGAUGCCGGCGGAAGCAGUGAGGCCCUUCUGACGAGUCGAGUUGUUUGGGAAUGCAGCUCCAAGCGGGUGGAAAUUCCAUCUAAGGCUAAAUACUGGCGAGAGACCGAUAGCGAACAAGUACUGUGAAGGAAAGAUGAAAAGCACUUUGAAAAGAGAGUGAAACAGCACGUGAAAUUGUGAAAGGGAAGGGUAUUGCGCCCGACAUGGGGAUUGCGCACCGCUGUCUCUUGUAGGCGGCGCUCUGGGCGCCCUCUGGGCAGCAUCGGUCCUGCUGCGGGAGAAGGGGCUCCGGAAAGUGGCUCUUCGGAGUGUAUAGCCGGGGCCAGAUGCCGCGUGUGGGGACCGAGGACUGCGGCUUCUGUCUCGGAUGCUGGCAUAACGGCGCAAUACCGCCCGUCUU
This 587-nucleotide ribosomal RNA is filed under the name Pichia kudriavzevii. RNAcentral's name for it is "eukaryotic LSU rRNA". It matches the Rfam family "Eukaryotic large subunit ribosomal RNA", at positions 38 to 655 of the family's 3401-position model. The record is from RNAcentral. Lineage: Eukaryota; Fungi; Ascomycota; Pichiomycetes; Pichiales; Pichiaceae.